This 450-nucleotide ribosomal RNA is filed under the name uncultured bacterium. RNAcentral's name for it is "partial 16S ribosomal RNA". It matches the Rfam family "Bacterial small subunit ribosomal RNA", at positions 354 to 796 of the family's 1533-position model. The record is from RNAcentral.
GUGGGGAAUAUUGGACAAUGGGCGAAAGCCUGAUCCAGCCAUGCCGCGUGUGUGAAGAAGGUCUUCGGAUUGUAAAGCACUUUAAGCUGGGAGGAAGGGCAGUAAGUUAAUACCUUGCUGUUUUGACGUUACCGACAGAAUAAGCACCGGCUAACUUCGUGCCAGCAGCCGCGGUAAUACGAAGGGUGCAAGCGUUAAUCGGAAUUACUGGUCGUAAAGCGCGCGUAGGUGGUUCAGCAAGUUGGAGGUGAAAUCCCCGUGCUCAACCUGGGAACUGCCUCCAAAACUACUGGGCUAGAGUACGGUAGAGGGUGGUGGAAUUUCCUGUGUAGCGGUGAAAUGCGUAGAUAUAGGAAGGAACACCAGUGGCGAAGGCGACCACCUGGACUGAUACUGACACUGAGGUGCGAAAGCGUGGGGAGCAAACAGGAUUAGAAACCCCUGUAGUCC